UUUGAGAAUAGGUUUUCGCAACAGAAGUUCUGCAAAUACACAGCCAACACUCCACAGAUCCACAGUCACCCCGUAGCUUGUGGAACCCAUGAGAAGCUCAGGAGGACGGUACCACAAUGUAACAACAUGACUGGUGGCAGUGCUCCAUUCCCGAUAAAAGCUGCUUCAUAUAACAUUUGACCUACAGGAGAAGAGCUCAAGUUCCAAAUUAACGAACACAAGAGAUGUUGGGAGCAUGUGACCUAUGGAAAAGAAGUCGACAAGAAGAAAGCCUGCAUACCUGGGCAUCACUGAACAUGAUCUGAGGAGAAGAUAUUAGCCCAGAAAGAUCAUGCUCCAUGUAUUCGAACACAAGAUACAUGCUAUUCGACAAUCGCGAAGUGAUUAUGCCCUCCAGUUUCAUAAUAUUUGGAUGAUCAAGCCUGCGGAGGAUUGAUAUUUCUCGUGCCAUAAAUUGAAUGCUCUCCGGUUGAAAAUUGUCGAACCGGACUUUUUUAAGAGCAACCAUCCUUCCAUUUGCCAACUCUCUUGCUCGGAAAACACUGCUGUAUGUGCCUUGUCCUAUCUAAUGCAAAGUUUGAAAUAUUAAAAGUUC
Syzygium oleosum is the source of this 595-nucleotide long non-coding RNA. RefSeq lists it as uncharacterized. Lineage: Eukaryota; Viridiplantae; Streptophyta; Magnoliopsida; Myrtales; Myrtaceae. The transcript is spliced from 2 exons. The record is from RefSeq and is a predicted model, not a curated record.